Molecule: ribosomal RNA, 495 nt
Filed under: Synalpheus herricki
Lineage: Eukaryota; Metazoa; Arthropoda; Malacostraca; Decapoda; Alpheidae
Description: partial large subunit ribosomal RNA
Rfam family: Bacterial large subunit ribosomal RNA
Source: RNAcentral
AUGUCUGUGUGUAUAUAAAUAUUUAGUCUGACCUGUCCACUGAAAUUUUUUAAAGGACUGCGGUAAUUUGACCGUGCGAAGGUAGCAUAAUCAAUAGUCUUUUAAUUGUAGGCUUGAAUGAAAGGUUUGACGGAGGAAUGGCUGUCUCUUUAAUUGAUAUUGAAUUUAACGUUUAUGUGAAAAGGCAUUAAUAAAUUAAAGGGACGAUAAGACCCUAUAAAAUUUUACAUACAGUAUUUUUUAAUAAAAUUGUUAUAAUAAUGAUUAAAUUAUAUGAUUAUGUUUUACUGGGGCGGUAAGAAUAUAAAUUUAACUGUUUUAAAUAUAAAAUACUUAUAAGUAGAUAAUGGUCCUUGAUUAAGGAGUAAAGAGUAAAUUACUUUAGGGAUAACAGCAUAAUUUCUUUUAAGAGUUCUUAUCGAAGAAGAAAGUUGUGACCUCGAUGUUGAAUUAAAUUUUCCUUUAGGUGUAGAAGUUUAAAGGGAGGGCCUGUUC